RNAcentral lists this ribosomal RNA (233 nucleotides) under uncultured bacterium. RNAcentral's name for it is "partial 16S ribosomal RNA". It matches the Rfam family "Bacterial small subunit ribosomal RNA", at positions 102 to 334 of the family's 1533-position model. The record is from RNAcentral.
ACGGGUGAGUAACACGUGGUCAACCUACCUAUGAGUGGGGGAUAACUAGCCGAAAGGUUAGCUAAUACCGCAUACGUCGCGAUCCGGCAUCGGAUUUCGAUAAAAGGAGCAAUCCGCUCGUUGACGGGACCGCGUCCCAUUAGCUAGUUGGUGGGGUAACGGCCUACCAAGGCUUCGAUGGGUAGCUGGUUUGAGAGAGCGACCAGCCACACUGGGACUGAGAAACGGCCCAG